UAGGGAAUCUUCGGCAAUGGGGGGAACCCUGACCGAGCAACGCCGCGUGAGUGAUGAAGGUCUUCGGAUCGUAAAACUCUGUUAUUAGGGAAGAACAAAUGUGUAAGUAACUAUGCACGUCUUGACGGUACCUAAUCAGAAAGCCACGGCUAACUACGUGCCAGCAGCCGCGGUAAUACGUAGGUGGCAAGCGUUAUCCGGAAUUAUUGGGCGUAAAGCGCGCGUAGGCGGUUUUUUAAGUCUGAUGUGAAAGCCCCCGGCUCAACCGGGGAGGGUCAUUGGAAACUGGUUGACUUGAGUGCAGAAGAGGAGAGUGGAAUUCCAUGUGUAGCGGUGAAAUGCGUAGAUAUAUGGAGGAACACCAGUGGCGAAGGCGACUCUCUGGUCUGUAACUGACGCUGAGGCUCGAAAGCGUGGGUAGCAAACAGG
RNAcentral lists this ribosomal RNA (429 nucleotides) under Bacteroidota bacterium. Its description in RNAcentral is "Bacteroidetes bacterium partial 16S ribosomal RNA". It matches the Rfam family "Bacterial small subunit ribosomal RNA", at positions 355 to 776 of the family's 1533-position model. The record is from RNAcentral. Lineage: Bacteria; Pseudomonadati; Bacteroidota.